UCGAAGGGUGAUGCUUACCGCGGAGGCUGCCUUCCAUUAGUGGAUCGCUUCGCAGAAAAUAAGCCCUAGAUUG
RNAcentral lists this small nucleolar RNA (73 nucleotides) under Leishmania donovani. Its description in RNAcentral is "H/ACA box snoRNA LD36Cs-1H1". The record is from RNAcentral. Lineage: Eukaryota; Euglenozoa; Kinetoplastea; Trypanosomatida; Trypanosomatidae.